CCUCGAUAAACACUUUAAAAAUACUGUCAGCAUCAAAAAAUCCAUCCAUCCAUGUCCAACAACUAGACCAAAAUAGCCCCAUCUUAAGCUCCUUAUCUGAUCGAACUAAAACUUAUUUUGCAUCUCCUGUCACAUGGUGAGGCCAAAAACAAUAUCCACAUCUAUGUAACAAACAAAAAACUGAUCAAAUAGAACAAAAGGGAACCAAUCACCAAACCAGAACCGCUUUUCCUUCAAAAAUGGUGAAGAACCACACAAAGAUCCAUCUGAAAUGGAAGUGCAUAAACAAUAAGCAAGGGGAAAGCCCAGGAAGAAGACAAUGACAGUAGAAAAAUAUUAUACUCCCUCUACAAUGCUUCACGUCCAACAACCAGACCAAGAUAGCCCCACCUUAAGCUCCGACUUUGGUAGAAUCAAAACUUAUUUUGUAUCUCCUGUCAAAGGGUGGGACCAAAAACAAUAUACACAUGUACGUAACAAACAAAAAAUAGAUUAAACAGAGCAAAAGGGAACCAAGCACCAAACCAGAACCGCCUUCCCACGAGAACUGGUUAAUUAGAACCCAAAGAUCAAACAUUUGAAGAUUAAAGAGCAUAACAAUAAGCAAAGGGAAAAAGUUCACCUAGAAGAUAAAUCACAAUAGAAAAAUAAUAUACUCCUGUUGACACCCACCAUAAACACUAUACCAAUGGCAGCAUCCAAGAUUGGUCCAUAUCCAAAUAACCAGACCAAGAUAGCCUCACCUUAAAUACCUAACUUUGAUGGAAUCAAAACCAAUUUUGUAUCUCCUGACACAGGGUGAGGCAGAAAACAAGGUCCAAGUCUACGUAACAAAAUAAAACUAUAAUAGAGAGCAAAGAUAACCAAGGAUCAAACCAGAACAGUCUUCCACAGAAGCCUGAUUAAGAAACACACAACGAUCCGGCAUCUGGAAAUUGAAAAGAAUAACGAUAAGCAAGGGAAAGUUUAGGUAGAAUAUAAAAUUUAGUAAAAAAGUUACAAUACUAUACUCCCUAUGCAACCCUUGAUAAACACUAUAUCAAUGACAGCGUCAAAGGUUGCUCCGUGUCCAACAAUCAGACCAAGAUUGCACCACCAUAAGCUCCUACUUUGAUAGAAUCAAAACUUAAUUUAUAUUUUGUGUCAUAGGGUGAUGCAGAAAACAAUAUCCACGCCAACGUAACAAACAAAAAACUGAUGAAAGAGAAAAAAGAUAACAAAGCAUCAAACCGAACAGCCUUCCAAUUAAGAACCACAACGAUCAGAAAUCUGAAAAUUGAAGAGUAUAACGACAAGCACCGGAAACUCUAGGUAGAAGAGAAAAUAUAGUAGAAGAAAAUGUAGUAUAACAAUCUGCAUCCCUCAAUAAACAUUAUAUCAAUUGACAUCUUAUAUUAGUCCGCAUCCAACAACCCCACCAAGUUGGCCCCCACCUUAAGCUCCCACUUUGAUAGAAUAAAACUGAAUUUGUAUCUCCUGUCACAGGGUGAGGGCGAAAAAAAUAUCAAAGUCUACGUAACAAAAAAAAAAAAACUAUAAUAGAGAACACAGACAACCAAGCGUCAAACAAGAACUGCCUUUCAGAGAAGCUUGAUUAAGAACAAAACAGCAACCAAAGAUUUGUCCAUGUCCAAAAACCAGACCAAGAUAGCCCCCACCUUAAGCUCCUACUUUGAUAGAAUCAAAACCUAUUUUGUAUCUCCUGUCACAGGGUGAGGCUGAAAACAACAUCCAAGUCUACAUAACAGCAAAAGAACUAUAAUUGAGAGAGCAAAGAUAACCAAUUAUCAAACCCGAACUGCCUUCCAGUUAAACUUGAUUAAGAACCACAUAAUGAACAGGCAUCUGGAAAUGGAAGAGAGACUAACAAUAACCACAGGAAAGUCUAGAUGGAAGAUAAAUUGUAGUAGAAAAAAAUACUAUAUUAUACUCCCUCUGCCAUCCUCGAUAAACACUAUAAUUGACAGCGUCAAAGGUUGAUCUGUGGCCAAUAUAACUAAACCAAGAUUAGCCCCACCUUGAGCUCCUACUUUGAUAAAAUCAAAACAAAAUUUUUAUCAUCUGCCAUAGGAUGAGGCAGAAAUACAAUAUACACGUAUACGUAACAAACAAAAAAACUGAUGAUAGAGAGAAAAGAUAAACCCAGCAUCAAACCAGAAGUGCCUUCAAGUAAAGAACACCUGGAAAUUGAAGAGUAUAACGAUAAGUAUAGGAAACUCAAGGUAAAAGAGAAAACGUAAAAAAAAAAAAAAUAACUAUACUGUACACCAUCUGCCACCCUCGACAAACACUAUAUCAAUGAUGGCAUCAUAGAUUAGUCCAUAUCCAAAAACCAGACCAAGAUAACCCCCACCUUAAGCUUCAACUUUGAUAGAAUCAAAACCUAUUUUGUCUCCUGGCACAGGGUGAGGACCAAAACAUUGUCCAAGUCUACAUAACAAAUAAACAAUAAUUACAGAGCAAAGGUGACCAAUUAGCAAACCAGAACAGCCUUCCCGUGAAGCUUGAUUAAAAACCACACAGCGAUCAGGCAUCUGGAAAUUGAUGAGAACAACGGUAAGCAUGGGAAAGUCUAGGUAGAAGAUAAAAGAUAGUAAAAAAAAAAAAAACUAUUCUAUACUCUCUUUGCCAGGCCCACACCACUAUAUCAAUGACAGCAUCAAAGGUAGAUCCGUGUUCAAUAACCAGGCCAACAUUAGCCACACCAUAAGCUCCUUCUUUCAAAACUUAAUUUUUAUCUCCUAUCAUAGGGUGAGGCAGAGAACAAUAUCCACGUCUACAUAACAACAAAAAAUUGUUGAAACUGACAAAAGAUAACCAAGAAAACAAGAAGUGCCAUCCAUUAUGGAAAUUGAAGAGUAUAACUAUAAACACGGGAAACUCUAGGUAGAAGAGAAAAUGUAGUAGAAAAAAAAAAUACUAUUAUGUAUUUCCUUUGCGACCCUCGAUUUACAAUAUACCAAUGAUAACAUCAAAGAUCUGUCCGCGUCCAAAAACCAGACCAAGAUAGCCCCCACAUUAAGCUCCUACAGUGAUGGAAUCAAAACCUAUUUUGUAUCUCCUGUCACAGGGUAGGCCCAAAACAAUAUCCAAGUCUAUAUAACAACAAAAGAAAUAUAAUAGAGAGAUCAAAUGCAACCAAUUAUGAACCCAGAACUGCCUUCCAGUUAAGCUUGAUUAAGAACCACACAACGAUCAGGCAUCUGGAAAUUGAAGAGAAUAACAAUAAGCACGGGAAAGUCAAGAUGGAAGAUAAAUUGUAGCAGAAUUAAUACAAUACUAUACUCCCUCUGACACCCUCGAUAAACAUUAUAUCAGUGACAGCAUCAAAAGUUGAUAUGUCUCCAAUAACUAGACCAAGAUUAGCCCCACCAUAAGCUGCUUCUUUCACAACUUAAUUUUUAACCCCUGUCACAAGGUGAGGCAGAAAACAAUAUCCACGUCUACGUAACAAAUAAAAGAUUGUUGAAACUGACAAAAGAUAACCAAGCAUACCAGAAGUGCCUUCCAGUUAAGAACCACACAACAAUCAGACAUCUGGAAAUUGAAGAGUAUAACUAUUAGCACGGGAAACUCUAGGUAGAAGAGAAAAUGUAGUAGAAAAAAAAUACUAUUAUGUACUCCAUGUACUCCCUUUACCACCCACAUUAAACUAUAUCAAUGACAGCAUGAAGGAUUUGUCAGUGUACCAAAAACCAGACCAAGACACGCCCCCACCUUAAGCUCCUACUUUGAUAGAAUCAGAACCUAUUUUGUAUCUCCUAUCACAGGGUGAGGCUGAAACCAACAUCGAGUCUAAAUAACAACAAAAGAACUACAAUAGAGAGAGCAAAGGUAACCAACUAUCAAACCCGAACUGCCGUCCAGUAAGCUUGAUUAAGAACCACACAACGAUCGGGCAUCUGGAAAUGGAAGAGAAUAACGAUAAGCACCGGAAGGUCUAGAUGGAAGAUAAAUUGUAUUAGAAGAAAUACUAUACUAACUCCCUCUGCCACCCUCGAAAAACAUAUCAUGACCAUCAAAGGAUUGAUUGUGUGCAAUAACUGACUAAGAUUAGCCCUACCUUAAGCCCUACUUUGAUAAAAUUAAAACUUAAUUUUUAUCUCAUGUCAUAGGGUGGGGCAGAAAACAAUAUCACGUCUAUGUACAAACAAAAAUUGUUGAAAUGACAAAAGAUAACCAAACAUCAAACCAGAAGUGUCAUCCAGUUAAGAACCACCCCACGAUCAGACAUCUGGAAAUUGAAGAGUAUAUCUAUAAGCACGGGAAACUCUAGGUAGAAGAGAAAAUGUAUAGAAAUAAAAAUACUAUUAUGUACUCCCUUUGCCACCCUCGAUUAACACAAUAUCAAUGACUCAUCAAAGAUCUGUCCGCGUCCAAAAACCAGACCAAGAUAGCCCCCACAUUAAGCUCCUACAGUGAUGGAAUCAAAACCUAUUUUGUAUCUCCUGUCACAGGGUAGGCCCAAAACAAUAUCCAAGUCUAUAUAACAACAAAAGAAUAUAAUAGAGAGAUCAAAUGCAACCAAUUAUGAACCCAGAACUGCCUUCCAGUUAAGCUUGAUUAAGAACCAAACAACGAUCAGGCAUCUGGAAAUCGAAGAGAAUAACAAUAAGCACGGGAAAGUCAAGAUGGAAGAUAAAUUGUAGCAGAAUUAAUACAAUACUAUACUCCCUCUGACACCCUCGAUAAACAUUAUAUCAGUGACAGCAUCAAAAGUUGAUGUCUCCAGUAACUAGACCAAGAUUAGCCCCACCAUAAGCUGCUUCUUUCACAACUUAAUUUUUAACUCCUGUCACAAGGUGAGGCAGAAAACAAUAUCCACGUCUACGUAACAAAUAAAAGAUUGUUGAAACUGACAAAAGAUAACCAAGCAUACCAGAAGUGCCUUCCAGUUAAGAACCACACAACAAUCAGACAUCUGGAAAUUGAAGAGUAUAACUAUUAGCACGGGAAACUCUAGGUAGAAGAGAAAAUGUAGGUAGAAAAAAAAUACUAUUAGUACUCCCUUUACCACCCACUAUUAACACUAUAUCAAUGACAGCAUGAAGGAUUUGUCAGUGUCCAAAAACCAGACCAAGACAGCCCCCACCUUAAGCUCCUACUUGAUAGAAUCAGAACCUAUUUUGUAUCUCCUAUCACAGGGUGAGGCUGAAACCAACAUCCGAGUCUAAAUAACAACAAAAGAACUACAAUAGAGAGAGCAAAGGUAACCAACUAUCAAACCCGAACUGCCGUCCAGUUAAGCUUGAUUAAGAACCACACAACGAUCGGGCAUCUGGAAAUGAAGAGAAUAACGAUAAGCACCGGAAGGUCUAGAUGGAAGAUAAAUUGUAUAGAAGAAAUACUAUACUAUACUCCCUCUGCCACCCUCGAUAAACACACUAUAUAGUGACCACGUCAAAGGAUUGACUUGUGUGCAAUAACUUGACUAAGAUUAGCCCUACCUUAAGCUCCUACUUGAUAAAAUUAAAACUUAAUUUUUAUCUCAUGUCAUAGGGUGGGGCAGAAAACAAUAUCCACGUCUAUGUAGCAAACAAAAUUGUUGAACUGACAAAAGAUAACCAAACAUCAAACAGAAGUGUCUCCAGUUAAGAACCACCCCACGAUCAGACAUCUGGAAAUUGAAGAGUAUAUCUAUAAGCACGGGAAACUCGAGGUAGAAGAGAAAAUGUAGUAGAAUAAAAAUACUAUUAUGUACUCCCUUUGCCACCCUCGAUUAACACAAUAUCAAUGACUACAUCAAAGAUCUGUCGCGUCCAAAAACCAGACCAAGAUAGCCCCCACAUUAAGCUCCUACAGUGAUGGAAUCAAAACCUAUUUUGUAUCUCCUGUCACAGGGUAGGCUCAAAACAAUAUCCAAGUCUAUAUAACAACAAAAGAAAUAUAAUAGAGAGAUCAAAUGCAACCAAUUAUGAACCCAGAACUGCCUUCCAGUUAAGCUUGAUUAAGAACCAAACAACGAUCAGGCAUCUGGAAAUCGAAGAGAAUAACAAUAAGCACGGGAAAGUCAAGAUGGAAGAUAAAUUGUAGCAGAAUUAAUACAAUACUAUACUCCCUCUGACACCCUCGAUAAACAUUAUAUCAGUGACAGCAUCAAAAGUUGAUAGUCUCCAUAACUAGACCAAGAUUAGCCCCACCAUAAGUGCUUCUUUCACAACUUAAUUUUUAACCCCUGUCACAAGGUGAGGCAGAAAACAAUAUCCACGUCUACGUAACAAAUAAAAGAUUGUUGAAACUGACAAAAGAUAACCAAGCAUACCAGAAGUGCCUUCCAGUUAAGAACCACACAACAUCAGACAUCUGGAAAUUGAAGAGUAUAUCUAUAGCACGGGAAAUUCUAGGUAGAAGAGAAAAUGUAGUAGAAAAAAAAUACUAUUAUGUACUCCCUUUCCACCCCGAUUAAACAUAUCAAUGACCAUAAGAUUGUCGGUCCAAAAACCAGACCAAGACAGCCCCCACCUUAAGCUCCUACUUUGAUAGAAUCAGAACCUAUUUUGUAUCUCCUAUCACAGGGUGAGGCUGAAACCAACAUCGAGUCUAAAUAACAACAAAAGAACUACAAUAGAGAAAGCAAAGGUAACCAACUAUCAAACCCGAACUGCCGUCCAGUUAAGCUUGAUUAAGAACCACACAACGAUCGGGCAUCUGGAAAUGGAAGAGAAUAACGAUAAGCACCGGAAGGUCUAGAUGGAAGAUAAAUUGUAUUAGAAGAAAUACUAUCUAUACUCCCUCUGCCACCCUCGAUAAACACACUAUAUCAGUGACCACGUCAAAGGAUUGACUUGUGUGCAAUAACUUGACUAAGAUUAGCCCUACUUAAGCUCCUACUUUGAUAAAAUUAAAACUUAAUUUUUAUCUCAUGUCAUAGGGUGGGGCAGAAAACAAUAUCCACGUCUAUGUACAAACAAAAUUGUUGAAAUGACAAAAGAUAACCAAACAUCAAACCAGAAGUGUCUCCAGUUAAGAACCACCCAGAUCAGACAUACUGGAAAUUGAAGGUAUAUCUAUAAGACACGGAAAUUGGUAGAAGAGAAAAUUAAGUAGAAUAAAAACUAUUAUGUACUCCCUUUGCCACCCUCGAUUAACACAAUAUCAAUGACUCAUCAAAGAUCUGUCCGCGUACCAAAAACCAGACCAAGAU
Molecule: long non-coding RNA, 7144 nt
Filed under: Salvia miltiorrhiza (redroot sage)
Lineage: Eukaryota; Viridiplantae; Streptophyta; Magnoliopsida; Lamiales; Lamiaceae
Description: long non-coding RNA (SMIL_LNC005898)
Source: RNAcentral